Molecule: ribosomal RNA, 3046 nt
Filed under: Campylobacter hepaticus
Lineage: Bacteria; Pseudomonadati; Campylobacterota; Epsilonproteobacteria; Campylobacterales; Campylobacteraceae
Description: 23S ribosomal RNA
Rfam family: Bacterial large subunit ribosomal RNA
Source: RNAcentral
AAAAAGGUAAGCUACUAAGAGCGAAUGGUGGAUGCCUUGACUGGUAAAGGCGAUGAAGGACGUACUAGACUGCGAUAAGCUACGGGGAGUUGUCAAGAAACUUUGAUCCGUAGAUUUCCGAAUGGGGCAACCCAAUGUAUAGAGAUAUACAUUACCUAUAUAGGAGCGAACGAGGGGAAUUGAAACAUCUUAGUACCCUUAGGAAAAGAAAUCAAUAGAGAUUGCGUCAGUAGCGGCGAGCGAAAGCGCAAGAGGGCAAACCCAGUGCUUGCACUGGGGGUUGUAGGACUGCAAUGUGCAAGAGGUGAGUUUAGCAAAACAUUCUGGAAAGUAUAGCCAUAGAGGGUGAUAGUCCCGUAUGCGAAAAACAAACCUUAGCUAGCAGUAUCCUGAGUAGGGCGGGACACGAGAAAUCCUGUCUGAAGCUGGGUCGACCACGAUCCAACCCUAAAUACUAAUACCAGAUCGAUAGCGUACAAGUACCGUGAGGGAAAGGUGAAAAGAACUGAGGUGAUCAGAGUGAAAUAGAACCUAAAACCAUUUGCUUACAAUCAUUCAGAGCACUAUGUAGCAAUACAGUGUGAUGGACUGCCUUUUGCAUAAUGAGCCUGCGAGUUGUGGUGUCUGGCAAGGUUAAGCAAACGCGAAGCCGUAGCGAAAGCGAGUCUGAAUAGGGCGCUUAGUCAGAUGCUGCAGACCCGAAACGAAGUGAUCUAUCCAUGAGCAAGUUGAAGCUAGUGUAAGAACUAGUGGAGGACUGAACCCAUAGGCGUUGAAAAGCCCCGGGAUGACUUGUGGAUAGGGGUGAAAGGCCAAUCAAACUUCGUGAUAGCUGGUUCUCUCCGAAAUAUAUUUAGGUAUAGCGUUGUGUCGUAGUAUAAGGGGGUAGAGCACUGAAUGGGCUAGGGCAUACACCAAUGUACCAAACCCUAUCAAACUCCAAAUACCUUAUAUGUAAUCACAGCAGUCAGGCGGCGAGUGAUAAAAUCCGUCGUCAAGAGGGAAACAACCCAGACUACCAGCUAAGGUCCCCAAAUCUUACUUAAGUGGAAAACGAUGUGAACUUACUUAAACAACCAGGAGGUUGGCUUAGAAGCAGCCAUCCUUUAAAGAAAGCGUAAUAGCUCACUGGUCUAGUGAUUUCGCGCGGAAAAUAUAACGGGGCUAAAGUAAGUACCGAAGCUGUAGACUUGCACACAACUUAGAUUAUUUAAGUUUAAAAUAUAAAACAAGUAAGUUAUAUUUUUACUGAUUUUUAUAGAAUUAAAAAUAGAAGUAAAAUUUAAGUCAUAAUAUACUUAAAGCUAAGUAGUUUAAGUUGUGUGCAAGUGGUAGGAGAGCGUUCUAUUUGCGUUGAAGGUAUACCGGUAAGGAGUGCUCGAGCGAAUAGAAGUGAGCAUGCAGGCAUGAGUAGCGAUAAUUAAUGUGAGAAUCAUUAACGCCGUAAACCCAAGGUUUCCUACGCGAUGCUCGUCAUCGUAGGGUUAGUCGGGUCCUAAGUCGAGUCCGAAAGGGGUAGACGAUGGCAAAUUGGUUAAUAUUCCAAUACCAACAUUAGUGUGCGAUGGAAGGACGCUUAGGGCUAAGGGGGCUAGCGGAUGGAAGUGCUAGUCUAAGGAUGUAGGAGCUUAUACAGGCAAAUCCGUAUAAGAAUACUCUGAGAUCUUAAAGGCUUUUUGAAGUCUUCGGAUGGAUAGAAGAACCCCUGAUGCCGUCGAGCCAAGAAAAGUUUCUAAGUUUAGCUAAUGUUGCCCGUACCGUAAACCGACACAGGUGGGUGGGAUGAGUAUUCUAAGGCGCGUGGAAGAACUCUCUUUAAGGAACUCUGCAAAAUAGCACCGUAUCUUCGGUAUAAGGUGUGGUUCGCUUCGUAUUAGGAUUUACUCCAAAAGCGAAGAAACUUACAACAAAGAGUCCCUCCCGACUGUUUACCAAAAACACAGCACUCUGCUAACUCGUAAGAGGAUGUAUAGGGUGUGACGCCUGCCCGGUGCUCGAAGGUUAAUUGAUGGGGUUAGCAUUAGCAAAGCUCUUGAUCGAAGCCCGAGUAAACGGCGGCCGUAACUAUAACGGUCCUAAGGUAGCGAAAUUCCUUGUCGGUUAAAUACCGACCUGCAUGAAUGGCGUAACGAGAUGGGAGCUGUCUCAAAGAGGGAUCCAGUGAAAUUGUAGUGGAGGUGAAAAUUCCUCCUACCCGCGGCAAGACGGAAAGACCCCGUGGACCUUUACUACAGCUUGACACUGCUAUUUGGAUAAGAAUGUGCAGGAUAGGUGGGAGGCUUUGAGUAUAUGACGCUAGUUAUAUAGGAGCCAUUGUUGAGAUACCACUCUUUCUUAUUUGGGUAGCUAACCAGCUUGAGUUAUCCUCAAGUGGGACAAUGUCUGGUGGGUAGUUUGACUGGGGCGGUCGCCUCCCAAAUAAUAACGGAGGCUUACAAAGGUUGGCUCAGAACGGUUGGAAAUCGUUCGUAGAGUAUAAAGGUAUAAGCCAGCUUAACUGCAAGACAUACAAGUCAAGCAGAGACGAAAGUCGGUCUUAGUGAUCCGGUGGUUCUGUGUGGAAGGGCCAUCGCUCAAAGGAUAAAAGGUACCCCGGGGAUAACAGGCUGAUCUCCCCCAAGAGCUCACAUCGACGGGGAGGUUUGGCACCUCGAUGUCGGCUCAUCGCAUCCUGGGGCUGGAGCAGGUCCCAAGGGUAUGGCUGUUCGCCAUUUAAAGCGGUACGCGAGCUGGGUUCAGAACGUCGUGAGACAGUUCGGUCCCUAUCUGCCGUGGGCGUAAGAAGAUUGAAGAGAUUUGACCCUAGUACGAGAGGACCGGGUUGAACAAACCACUGGUGUAGCUGUUGUUCUGCCAAGAGCAUCGCAGCGUAGCUAAGUUUGGAAAGGAUAAACGCUGAAAGCAUCUAAGCGUGAAGCCCACUCUAAGAUGAAUCUUCUCUAAGCUCUCUAGAAGACUACUAGUUUGAUAGGCUGGAUGUGUAAUGGAUGAAAGUCCUUUAGCUGACCAGUACUAAUAGAGCGUUUGGCUUAUCUUUAUAAAGCAU